Molecule: transfer RNA, 64 nt
Filed under: Fimbriaria fasciolaris
Lineage: Eukaryota; Metazoa; Platyhelminthes; Cestoda; Cyclophyllidea; Hymenolepididae
Description: tRNA-Pro
Source: RNAcentral
CAUAUCUUAGUUUAAUUUAGAAUGAGGAUUUUGGGGAUCUUUGGUCUCGUUAUGAGAGAUUUGG